GUCUUUUGCCAUACCACCCUGAACGCGCCCGAUCUCGUCUGAUCUCGGAAGCUAAGCAGGGUUGGGCCGGGUUAGUACGUGGAUGGGAGACCACCUGGGAAUACCGGGUGCUGUAAGCU
This is a ribosomal RNA of Cavia aperea (Brazilian guinea pig), 119 nucleotides long. Lineage: Eukaryota; Metazoa; Chordata; Mammalia; Rodentia; Caviidae. The record is from Ensembl.